UAAGGAAUAUUGGUCAAUGGAGGCAACUCUGAACCAGCCAUGCCGCGUGCAGUGAAGAAGGCCCUCUGGGUUGUAAACUGCUUUUAUCAGGGAAAAAACCCUUCUACGUGUAGGAGGCUGACGGUACCUGAGGAAUAAGGAUCGGCUAACUCCAUGCCAGCA
RNAcentral lists this ribosomal RNA (162 nucleotides) under uncultured bacterium. RNAcentral's name for it is "partial 16S ribosomal RNA". It matches the Rfam family "Bacterial small subunit ribosomal RNA", at positions 355 to 513 of the family's 1533-position model. The record is from RNAcentral.